This 286-nucleotide long non-coding RNA is filed under the name Homo sapiens (human). RNAcentral's name for it is "HSALNT0385405". The record is from RNAcentral. Lineage: Eukaryota; Metazoa; Chordata; Mammalia; Primates; Hominidae.
UGAUCCACCCGCCUCAGCCUCCCAAAGUGCUGGGAUUACAGGCAUGAGCCACCGCGCCCGGCCGAAUCUGCCUUUCACAGGUGCAGCGUAGUCUGUUGUCCCACCAUUAGCUUUGCUUUUAAUACGGCCAACCCACUCCAGCCCCUUCCCUGGAGCCUGGCGGACCCAGCUCAUCCAGGCGUUACUGAAAGUGAAUCCAGAGGCUGCACAGGAGAGUCUCAGGGACCCCCCAGGCUGGACCAAGCCUCCCCCAGACUCCACCAGCUGCACCUCACACUGCACACCU